RNAcentral lists this RNase P RNA (343 nucleotides) under Candidatus Saccharibacteria bacterium RIFCSPHIGHO2_02_FULL_47_12. RNAcentral describes it as "RNase P RNA component class A". It matches the Rfam family "Bacterial RNase P class A". From Rfam's summary of the family: Ribonuclease P (RNase P) is a ubiquitous endoribonuclease, found in archaea, bacteria and eukarya as well as chloroplasts and mitochondria. Its best characterised activity is the generation of mature 5'-ends of tRNAs by cleaving the 5'-leader elements of precursor-tRNAs. The record is from RNAcentral. Lineage: Bacteria; Candidatus Saccharimonadota.
CCAGAUUAUUGACUGGUCGCGGCACCCUAAAGGUGUCGAGGAAAGUCCGGGCAGCUUAGGGAUAAGACAGUUGCUAACGGCAACCAAGGGUGACCUUAGGGAAAGUGCCACAGAAACCAAACCGCCCGCCUUCGGCGGGUAAGGGUGAAAAGAGCGAGGUAAGAGCCCGCAGUUAUGUAUGGUGACAUAUAUAAGUGGUAAACCCUGUCUGCUGCAAGGAGAUACGUCCUAUCAAGGUGUUCCCGCCAGGGCGAAUCAAUCUAACCGCUUGAGCCUGCUGGCAACGGUAGGCCUAGAUAGAUGACCAGACAAACAAAACCCGGCUUAUAGAUAAUCUGGCAAU